This 242-nucleotide unclassified non-coding RNA is filed under the name Articulospora sp. RNAcentral describes it as "partial contains 5.8S ribosomal RNA, internal transcribed spacer 2, and large subunit ribosomal RNA". Lineage: Eukaryota; Fungi; Ascomycota; Leotiomycetes; Helotiales; Discinellaceae. The record is from RNAcentral.
CGCACAUUGCGCCCCUUGGUAUUCCGGGGGGCAUGCCUGUUCGAGCGUCAUUAUCACCCCUCAAGCUCAGCUUGGUGUUGGGGCCUGCCCGUCACAGGGCAGCCCUUAAAAGCAGUGGCGGUGCCAUCUGGCUCUACGCGUAGUAAUACUCCUCGCGACAGAGUCCCGGUGGUGUCCUGCCAGAACCCCCCAUAUUUUUAAUGAUUGACCUCGGAUCAGGUAGGGAUACCCGCUGAACUUAA